CGUAGGUGGCAAGCGUUGUCCGGAUUUAUUGGGUUUAAAGGGUGCGUAGGUGGCCCUGUAAGUCAGUGGUGAAAUAUCUCAGCUUAACUGAGAGGGUGCCAUUGAUACUGCAGGGCUUGAGUACAGAUGAGGUAGGCGGAAUUGACGGUGUAGCGGUGAAAUGCAUAGAUAUCGUCAAGAACACCGAUAGCGAAGGCAGCUUACCAAGCUGUAACUGACACUGAGGCACGAAAGUGUGGGGAUCAAACAGGAUUAGAUACCCUGGUAGUCCACACUGUAAACGUUGAUGACUCGAUGUUGGCGAUACACAGCCAGCGUCCAAGAGCAAAUCGUUAAGUCAUCCACCUGGGGAGUACGCCGGCAACGGUGA
Molecule: ribosomal RNA, 370 nt
Filed under: uncultured organism
Description: bacterial SSU rRNA
Rfam family: Bacterial small subunit ribosomal RNA
Source: RNAcentral